RNAcentral lists this ribosomal RNA (501 nucleotides) under uncultured bacterium. RNAcentral describes it as "partial 16S ribosomal RNA". It matches the Rfam family "Bacterial small subunit ribosomal RNA", at positions 30 to 523 of the family's 1533-position model. The record is from RNAcentral.
AUUGAACGCUAGCGGCAGGCUUAACACAUGCAAGUCGAGCGGGGGAAGGUAGCUUGCUACCGGACCUAGCGGCGGACGGGUGAGUAAUGCUUAGGAAUCUGCCUAUUAGUGGGGGACAACAUCUCGAAAGGGAUGCUAAUACCGCAUACGUCCUACGGGAGAAAGCAGGGGAUCUUCGGACCUUGCGCUAAUAGAUGAGCCUAAGUCGGAUUAGCUAGUUGGUGGGGUAAAGGCCUACCAAGGCGACGAUCUGUAGCGGGUCUGAGAGGAUGAUCCGCCACACUGGAACUGAGACACGGCCCAGACUCCUACGGGAGGCAGCAGUGGGGAAUAUUGGACAAUGGGGGGAACCCUGAUCCAGCCAUGCCGCGUGUGUGAAGAAGGCCUUAUGGUUGUAAAGCACUUUAAGCGAGGAGGAGGCUACUCUAGUUAAUACCUAGGGAUAGUGGACGUUACUCGCAGAAUAAGCACCGGCUAACUCUGUGCCAGCCGCCGCAGUAA